GGUCGCAUCGAUAGUCUCGUUUCCAAAGCUGCCUCAAAUCCAUCAGUGGACACUCUGGUGGAGAUCUCCGACAAGGCUCUCGAUAAACUCUUGGGAAGUUAAUAUCAAGGCCACUGUGCAAGCCAUUCAGGCCGCGGUACCUCCCGGGAUUUGUGCCUGCCCACGCACUUCGCGAGCUACCUCACAGAGAACGGAGCUAUCAGAUCAAACAUUGAGUCCCAGACGCUACUGAAAAGACUCGGAACAGUGGACGACAUGGAAUCCCUCCAGCUACGACAAUCGUCUCGCCAGUGAUGUCACUCGAGACUAGAAACGCUACCGCCGCCCGCAGUAGACUAUGAGACUAUGAGAGAGAUUGGCAAAAGCAGGACACUUAGAAGUGGUCUCACAAGUAUUUA
Molecule: long non-coding RNA, 398 nt
Organism: Selaginella moellendorffii
Lineage: Eukaryota; Viridiplantae; Streptophyta; Lycopodiopsida; Selaginellales; Selaginellaceae
Exons: 3
Source: RefSeq, a predicted model, not a curated record